AGUAAGAUGCCUGACAAAAAGGGCUAUCUUGAUAGGAUAGAUUAUGUAGAUUUUUUACUCUUAUUA
This 66-nucleotide transfer RNA is filed under the name Cucujoidea sp. 15 KM-2017. RNAcentral describes it as "tRNA-Ile". The record is from RNAcentral. Lineage: Eukaryota; Metazoa; Arthropoda; Insecta; Coleoptera.